RNAcentral lists this ribosomal RNA (468 nucleotides) under uncultured bacterium. RNAcentral's name for it is "partial 16S ribosomal RNA". It matches the Rfam family "Bacterial small subunit ribosomal RNA", at positions 28 to 507 of the family's 1533-position model. The record is from RNAcentral.
GACGAACGCUGGCGGCGUGCUUAACACAUGCAAGUCGAACGGAAAGGCCCUGCUUUUGUGGGGUGCUCGAGUGGCGAACGGGUGAGUAACACGUGAGUAACCUGCCCUUGACUUUGGGAUAACUUCAGGAGACUGGGGCUAAUACCGGAUAGGAGCUCCUGCUGCAUGGUGGGGGUUGGAAAGUUUCGGCGGUUGGGGAUGGACUCGCGGCUUAUCAGCUUGUUGGUGGGGUAGUGGUUUACCAAGGCUUUGACGGGUAGCCGGCCUGAGAGGGUGACCGGCCACCUUGGGACUGCGAGACGGACCAGACUGGUACGGGAGGCAGUAGUGGAGAAUAUUGCACAGUGGCCCGAAGUCUGAUGCAGCGACGCCGCGUGCGGGAUGACGGCUUUCGGGGUGUAAACCUCUUUGGCCGGUGACGAAGCGUGAGUGACGGUAAUUGGUAAAGAAGCACCGGCUAACUACGUG